This 260-nucleotide ribosomal RNA is filed under the name uncultured bacterium. RNAcentral's name for it is "partial 16S ribosomal RNA". It matches the Rfam family "Bacterial small subunit ribosomal RNA", at positions 94 to 354 of the family's 1533-position model. The record is from RNAcentral.
AGUGGCGGACGGGUGAGUAACGCGUGAGCAACCUGCCCUUCGGAGGGGGAUAGUGUCUGGAAACGGACAGUAAUACCGCAUAACGUAUUUUUACCGCAUGAUAGAAAUACCAAAACUGAGGUGCCGAAGGAUGGGCUCGCGUUGGAUUAGAUAGUUGGUGGGGUAACGGCCUACCAAGUCGACGAUCCAUAGCCGGACUGAGAGGUUGAACGGCCACAUUGGGACUGAGACACGGCCCAGACUCCUACGGAAGGCAGCAG